Molecule: ribosomal RNA, 525 nt
Filed under: uncultured Oxalobacteraceae bacterium
Lineage: Bacteria; Pseudomonadati; Pseudomonadota; Betaproteobacteria; Burkholderiales; Oxalobacteraceae
Description: partial 16S ribosomal RNA
Rfam family: Bacterial small subunit ribosomal RNA
Source: RNAcentral
AGAGUUUGAUCCUGGCUCAGAUUGAACGCUGGCGGCAUGCCUUACACAUGCAAGUCGAACGGCAGCACGGGGGCAACCCUGGUGGCGAGUGGCGAACGGGUGAGUAACAUAUCGGAACGUGCCCUGGAGUGGGGGAUAACUAGUCGAAAGACUGGCUAAUACCGCAUACGAUCUACGGAUGAAAGUGGGGGAUUCGCAAGGACCUCAUGCUCGUGGAGCGGCCGAUAUCUGAUUAGCUAGUUGGKGGGGUAAAGGCCUACCAAGGCGRCGAUCAGUAGCUGGUCUGAGAGGACGACCAGCCACMCKGGGACUGAGRCACGGCCCAGACUCCUACGGGAGGCAGCAGUGGGGAAUUUUGGRCAAKGGGGGCAACCCKGAUCCAGCAAUGCCGCGUGAGUGAAGAAGGCCUUCGGGUUGUAAAGCUCUUUUGUCAGGGAAGAAACGRUCUGGGCUAAUAUCCCGGGCUAAUGACGGUACCUGAAGAAKAAGCMCCGGCUAACUACGUGCCAGCAGCCGCGGUAAUAC